Molecule: transfer RNA, 70 nt
Filed under: Phalacrocorax carbo (great cormorant)
Lineage: Eukaryota; Metazoa; Chordata; Aves; Suliformes; Phalacrocoracidae
Also listed under: 1 other name
Description: tRNA-Phe
Rfam family: tRNA
About the family: Transfer RNA (tRNA) molecules are approximately 80 nucleotides in length.
Source: RNAcentral
GUCCUUGUAGCUUAAACAAAGCGUAGCACUGAAGAUGCUAAGAUGGCUGCCCCCUUUUCCCCCAAGGACA